This is a regulatory RNA element of 184 nucleotides. It matches the Rfam family "Lysine riboswitch aptamer". From Rfam's summary of the family: Riboswitches are metabolite binding domains within certain messenger RNAs that serve as precision sensors for their corresponding targets. The record is from Rfam.
AUCGAAAGAAGAGGAUGCAGUUUUCAUGAGUAUGUUUAACGAGGCAAUUAAGUGCUGAAGAACUUAAACAGAAAGGGUAGACUGCCGAAGUGGACGCUAACUUAAAUUUAGUGACUGCUGGGUUUUGGCUUAAUAAGUCAAAGACUGUCGUGGUCAAUAACGACCACGGGGCGCUUAUAACGAU